GCGAGGGGCGGCUCGUCCGCUCCGAGAUCGGACCCGACCCCGAGGGCGACCGCGUCUUGCCCGACACCCCCGCCGUUUGAGUCGCGCGCGGAGCGCCCCUCUUCCCAUCACAUGUCGCGGGCCUGCCUUUAACUCUCCGCCGUCGCGGGUCGGGGCCAACGCGGAAGGCACCUCUCAGGCAAAGGCAAGUGGAUUCUUUCCCGUUUCCAAGCCUCAGCUGGCAACAGACUGUCAGCUGUCUCAGAACUGGCACGGACCAGGGGAAUGCGACUGUUUAGGUAAAACAAAGCAAUGCGAUGGUCGGUGAUCGAUGCUGACACAUUGUGAUUUCUGCCCAGUGCUCUGAAUGUCAAAAUGAAGAGAUUCAACCAAACGCGGGUAAACGGCGGGAGUAACUAUGACUUUUAAGGUAGCCAAUUGCCUUGUCAUCUAAUUAGUAAUGCACAUGAAUGGAUUAACGAGAAUUCCACUUUCCCUAUCUAUUAUCUAGUGAACCCACAGGCAGGGAAACGGGCCUGCAGUUGAGCUUGACUCUAGUUUGGCUUUGAAGAGAAGCACCAGAGGUGAAGCAUAAGUGGGAAAGCCUAAUAUCUGACGAUGAAAUACCACUACUCUGGUCGUCUCUCUACUUGGUUAUGCCAGAACGGGAGGCUUGACGGGGGUCGGGCGCGCGGACGGGCUGCGGCAACCGCGGCGCGGCGGUCGUCCUUUCCUUCCCAUCCUUCUCUCCUAUGCCUCUACUAGUUUCUAAGCGACACGUCAAAGCGGGGCUCCGUCCCCGUCUCCGUUCGCGGCCGCGUGGAUAGCCGUUCCGAGGACAGAGCCAGAUGGGGAGUUUGACUGAGGCGGUACAUCUGUCAAAUGAUAACGCAGAUGUCCCAAGGUCAGCUCAGCCCUGGACAAAAACCACGUGUAGCCUAAGGACAAAUGCUGGCUUGAUCCGGACUGCAAAAGCAUGGCCUAGCAAUUCUUUUGACUUUUACAAGUUUUAAGCAGAAAGUUACCACAGGGAUAACCGGCUUGUGGUGGCCAAGCAUUCAUAGUGACGUCGCUUUUUGAUCCUUCGAUGUCGUCUCUUCCUAUCAUUGUGAAGCAGUUUAC
Molecule: ribosomal RNA, 1101 nt
Filed under: Penaeus japonicus
Lineage: Eukaryota; Metazoa; Arthropoda; Malacostraca; Decapoda; Penaeidae
Description: eukaryotic LSU rRNA
Rfam family: Eukaryotic large subunit ribosomal RNA
Source: RNAcentral